Molecule: long non-coding RNA, 608 nt
Filed under: Dromaius novaehollandiae (emu)
Lineage: Eukaryota; Metazoa; Chordata; Aves; Casuariiformes; Dromaiidae
Description: lncRNA (ENSDNVG00000008947.1)
Source: RNAcentral
AAUGGCUGCGGAAUGACUUCAGGCGAAGCUCUCUCAUAGCCCUGCCAUGGUAGCUGGGCUGGCUGCAGACCGAGGUGCAGGAGGUUAACAGAUGAGACAGCCUUUCAUCCUGCCCUCCAUGUGGCUUUGCCUACUCGCAUGCAUUUGUCUCUGUAUAUAUUGGCAGUCUUCUGGAGUAGCGACUCUCCUGACUGUGUACCCCAUCUCAUUUUCUGCAGCCCUUGGAAACUUAUUGAAGCAGCAAUGUAAGAUUAGACCCUUAAACAAUGUCACCAAGAACACUGUACUUCUAGCAGUGCAGUCCGAUGUGCAAAAGCAGUUGCCCUGGGCAAAGGUCGGAGAUCAGAGCAGAAGACUUCGCAUCAGUCCCUCCUAAGAAUUCUCAUCACGCCACAGCAGGGAGAGGCGUGUAUUCUGACUAACUUCAGUGGAAAGACCUGCUUCAUGUAUCAAGUUAACAGUGAACCAUUCCUGGAGCAAGUGAAUUUGAGGACAACAUUUUGGCCUGUAGACUAAGUUCAAGACAGAAACACUGGAGGAAAGGCAAAAUGCCAUUCACAUUUAUAGUGCAGUAUGAAUAAAUAAUAUUGGUGGAAAGUGAAACUGCA